GGCGGCGUGGCUAUACAUGCAAGUCGAGCGGACUGAUGGGAGCUUGCUCCCUGAAGUCAGCGGCGGACGGGUGAGUAACACGUGGGUAACCUGCCUGUAAGACUGGGAUAACUCCGGGAAACCGGGGCUAAUACCGGAUAGUUCUUUUCCUCGCAUGAGGAAAAGUGGAAAGGCGGCUUCGGCUGCCACUUACAGAUGGACCCGCGGCGCAUUAGCUAGUUGGUGAGGUAACGGCUCACCAAGGCAACGAUGCGUAGCCGACCUGAGAGGGUGAUCGGCCACACUGGGACUGAGACACGGCCCAGACUCCUACGGGAGGCAGCAGUAGGGAAUCUUCCGCAAUGGACGAAAGUCUGACGGAGCAACGCCGCGUGAGUGAUGAAGGUUUUCGGAUCGUAAAGCUCUGUUGUUAGGGAAGAACAAGUGCCGUUCGAAUAGGGCGGCACCUUGACGGUACCUAACCAGAAAGCCACGGCUAACUACGUGCCAGCAGCCGCGGUAAUACGUAGGUGGCAAGCGUUGUCCGGAAUUAUUGGGCGUAAAGCGCGCGCAGGCGGUCUCUUAAGUCUGAUGUGAAAGCCCACGGCUCAACCGUGGAGGGUCAUUGGAAACUGGGGGACUUGAGUACAGAAGAGGAAAGU
This 641-nucleotide ribosomal RNA is filed under the name Bacillus sp. (in: firmicutes). RNAcentral describes it as "bacterial SSU rRNA". It matches the Rfam family "Bacterial small subunit ribosomal RNA", at positions 38 to 662 of the family's 1533-position model. The record is from RNAcentral. Lineage: Bacteria; Bacillati; Bacillota; Bacilli; Caryophanales; Bacillaceae.